Paramuricea clavata is the source of this 379-nucleotide non-coding RNA. The record is from the annotation of a GenBank genome assembly. NCBI's taxonomy places the organism in Eukaryota, Metazoa, Cnidaria, Anthozoa, Malacalcyonacea, Plexauridae.
UUUCUAACCUGUGCUUUCUUGCUCAAACAAAGAGUUUCUUUCUUAAAAACGGAUGUAGGAGACGCCAGCAGACGUGACUUAUUUUAAAUUCGUCAUGUCACGAAUAUUUUAAACGUAUCAUUUUUCUUCCAUUUCCCAAUUUUCCCUACGGUUUUUCGCAUUCAAAUAGCUAUGUAGCUACCAUGCUGGCUAUCCUUUUAUUACUCUGCUAGCAGGGUACUAUGUAGCCUAUAUUGAGAUUCAAAAUGGUUUCAUUGUCUUUUACAGUUUUAGUGUUCGUCUUUGUUUUGGUUUGUUUUUUUACUUUCGCCAGGCGGAAACUGGUGUCAAAAACGCUAAUGCUUGCUUGCUUGAUAUGUUCAGUGGCGGCAGAACGGAU